RNAcentral lists this microRNA precursor (81 nucleotides) under Microtus ochrogaster (prairie vole). Its description in RNAcentral is "microRNA 292 (ENSMOCG00000009166.1)". The stretch from base 7 to 75 matches the Rfam family "mir-290 microRNA precursor family". Lineage: Eukaryota; Metazoa; Chordata; Mammalia; Rodentia; Cricetidae. The record is from RNAcentral.
CAACCUGUGAUACUCAAACUGGGGGCUCUUUUUUUUUUUCUUUGAAGAAAAGUGCCGCCAGGUUUUGAGUGUUACCGAUUG